UCUGCACCACUCACCAACCUCCGCGCCGGGCCGAGGUCACGCCCGCUUGCCCCCGACGCCCGGGCGGCCACCUCCUCCUGCCAAGGGGUAGCCCGAGACCCGGGCUGGAGAAGGGGGUCCGCGGAGGAGUUGGCAAGGGGACUCACCAGGGCAAUGCCUAGUACAUAAUGCUUCUCAACCAAAAAUAUAAUGCGUAUUGAUUCUGACACCACGGAAGACAAAUUGUCCCAACAUCCAGUGAUGCAAUGCCAUGAACCAAAGAAACAGUAAUCUGAAGAGUAGAAGUCAUAAAAACAAAGAUUGAUCUUAAGGAAAGUCUACAGAAAUCAAAGAGAAAAGCAGGAUUAAAUGAGGAUGGUUAAAAAACAAACCAGAACAACAAGAAAACCCUACA
Molecule: long non-coding RNA, 394 nt
Organism: Marmota monax (woodchuck)
Lineage: Eukaryota; Metazoa; Chordata; Mammalia; Rodentia; Sciuridae
Exons: 3
Source: RefSeq, a predicted model, not a curated record